Molecule: long non-coding RNA, 548 nt
Filed under: Rattus norvegicus (Norway rat)
Lineage: Eukaryota; Metazoa; Chordata; Mammalia; Rodentia; Muridae
Description: long non-coding RNA NONRATT009405
Source: RNAcentral
GGCAUGAAGGAGCAAGUGCACAAGCAGCUGUAGGUGGGAGGGAGAGGGGCUUCUGGGUUCCCUAACAACAUAAGUGAAGGAAGAAAGUUGAAGGAAGAAGGCCAGAAGAGGAGGGGAAGGAGGGCCCUUUUGGAAAGUCCUGGCAUAAUGUCGCCUCUGCAGCUCCAAGUGUUUCCGACCGGCAGCACACAGUCGCAUUGUUGUUCAUGGGAGUUUCUCCAAGAUUUCCACACCAGGACAUGGCACGCGCAGAUAGUGGUGAAGUGAAGUGGUGAAUGAUGCUGCAGGCUGUGUCCAGAAGUCGGGUGAUGAGGGACGCUCCCGGCCUUUAUCUGUCCCAUCCCUGGGGAAGAAGGGACUGGUCAUCUUCUUUCCUGAAGCCUGAUUGAGAGUGUGCUGUUGGUAGUUUCAUUCGCACCACCCAGGAGAGUUAAAUAUUCCCAUAUCUGGAGCACAGACCUCUGUUCCCAUGCAAUUGUUCAGGGAUGGGUCCCAGACAUUAGUGAUUUUCAUUGAUUCCAAUGUCAACUGGGAUUAAAAAUAAAAAC